Molecule: long non-coding RNA, 233 nt
Organism: Solanum stenotomum
Lineage: Eukaryota; Viridiplantae; Streptophyta; Magnoliopsida; Solanales; Solanaceae
Exons: 3
Source: RefSeq, a predicted model, not a curated record
UUAUCGGCAUAUCGUUGCCGGUCUUGCUAUGCUACCCUUUGCCUAUUUUCUUGAAAGAAAGACAAGGCCAAAGUUAACUAUAGCUUUGUUGUUGGAGAUAUUUGUACUCUCUCUAGUGGGAGUGAGUUUGACACUGAACAUGUACUUUGUGAGCUUGAACUACACUUCUCCGACUCUUCUUGCCUCGAUGGUCAACACUAUAGCUGCCUUAACAUUUGUACUAGCAGUUAUUC